This 710-nucleotide ribosomal RNA is filed under the name Phaeobacter sp. RNAcentral describes it as "bacterial SSU rRNA". It matches the Rfam family "Bacterial small subunit ribosomal RNA", at positions 50 to 805 of the family's 1533-position model. The record is from RNAcentral. Lineage: Bacteria; Pseudomonadati; Pseudomonadota; Alphaproteobacteria; Rhodobacterales; Roseobacteraceae.
AACACAUGUCAAGUCGAGCGCACUCUUCGGAGUGAGCGGCGGACGGGUUAGUAACGCGUGGGAACGUGCCCUUCUCUAAGGAAUAGCCACUGGAAACGGUGAGUAAUACCUUAUACGCCCUUCGGGGGAAAGAUUUAUCGGAGAAGGAUCGGCCCGCGUUAGAUUAGAUAGUUGGUGGGGUAAUGGCCUACCAAGUCUACGAUCUAUAGCUGGUUUUAGAGGAUGAUCAGCAACACUGGGACUGAGACACGGCCCAGACUCCUACGGGAGGCAGCAGUGGGGAAUCUUGGACAAUGGGCGCAAGCCUGAUCCAGCCAUGCCGCGUGAGUGAUGAAGGCCUUAGGGUCGUAAAGCUCUUUCGCCAGAGAUGAUAAUGACAGUAUCUGGUAAAGAAACCCCGGCUAACUCCGUGCCAGCAGCCGCGGUAAUACGGAGGGGGUUAGCGUUGUUCGGAAUUACUGGGCGUAAAGCGCACGUAGGCGGAUCAGAAAGUAUAGGGUGAAAUCCCAGGGCUCAACCCUGGAACUGCCUUGUAAACUCCUGGUCUUGAGUUCGAGAGAGGUGAGUGGAAUUCCGAGUGUAGAGGUGAAAUUCGUAGAUAUUCGGAGGAACACCAGUGGCGAAGGCGGCUCACUGGCUCGAUACUGACGCUGAGGUGCGAAAGUGUGGGGAGCAAACAGGAUUAGAUACCCUGGUAGUCCACACCGUAA